CUCUUGUAAAUGAAGAAAUUAAAACUGCAAGUUGAAACUGAGUCACUGAUGGUACCAGAUGUUUCUGGAGCAAAACUGGGAAAGAGGGUGAGCAUUGGAAAGACACCUCCUCCUGUUAUCUUCGAGAAGCCAUUUACUGGGAAAACAAAAACUGAGCUUCGUGAUGCAUAAAUUCCAAAAUGCAGAGGCAAAUUUCUUUCCCUUUGACCACAUGUCGGAAAGGCUCGGGGUUCAGUAACUGGAGUAAAUCUUGCUGCUGUUCGCGCUUUGGGUCCGCACUACCUUUAAGAGCUGUAACAUUGACUGUGAAGGUCUGCGGCUUCACUCCUAAAGUCAGCAAGACCACGAACCCACCGGAAGGGAGAAACUCCGGACACACCAUCUUUAAGACUGUAACACUCACCUCGAGGGUCUGUGGCUUCAUUUCUUGAAGUCAGAAAGACCAAGAACCCACCAAUUCCGGACACAAUAGAAUCCAAGUUCUGCCAAGUGUGGUAACACCCAGCUCACAAAUGACUGCGACUCUUAUCUUCGAGGUGACUCAUCCUGGCAGCAGAAUGAGCUCCGGCCAAAGGCACAGUGACAUCCUAAAGCCCGCCCUCACUGUCUCUCUCCAUCUCAUGUUUAGCCAGAAAAGGCAAAAGCCAGUCCUUUCGUGAAAUCAAACAGCUUGCUUUAUUCCAGAAAGAAUUUGAGGCAACUUCAUCAGAAGUGAAAGUUUUAAUUUUGGGUUCCAAAGAAAACAUUUCAAAAUGUGUUGCCAAAUCUUCGCUCAUCAUAAUUUGGAAUUGGACAACAUUCCUGAGCACGUGUCCCAGGCAAGGUGGGCCAUGGAGGGACCAUAACGCAUGACCAUGCCCUUCAGCUGCUUUGAGUGUAGCGGAGGAAAAGCCAUAUACCCGGGGGGACAGCAGUUCAUGGGGAAUGAAGAGAUUCAGCCAAGAAACACCUAUUGCAGUAAAAGCAAAGAGGAAGAACGAACAUUUCAUCUGACCAUGUCUUAUUUUUUGCUUGUCCCCAUUGUGCUGGUCAUUCAGCAAGCACUUGAUAUUUUUCCAUGAGAUUUUAUUGACACGGGAAAUUAGGUGCCACUAAGACAAAGAUUUAUUUUCUUGGUGUCUAUGCAAACUACCUACUUCAGUUGCCCAUUUUGCUAGAAGUCAAUUGGGCAGAAAUGAACAUAUUUCGGGCAUUAUUUUGAUUCUUUUUUAUUGUAAACCAUAGUAAGCACCAAUGACAUGUCAGGCUAUGGGCUAGGUGCUAGACUGGUGUUAAAAAGAUCUCAGUCUAGGGUAGACAAAGAGAUGAUCAUAACACAGUGUGGUAAGAGUAGUGACUGAGGUCAAUGCCUGAGGUGCUGUGGGGGGAAAGAAGAGUAUGCUUAACCUGGAGUGGGGCUUCAAGGAAGCUUCCUUAAAAACCCGUGGGGCUGGCUGGGCAUAGUGGCUCAUGCCUGUAAUCCCAGCACUUUGGGAGGCUGAGGUGGGCGGAUCACGAGGUCAAGAGACCGAGACCAUCCUGGCCAACAUGGUGAAACCCAGUCUCUACCAAAAAUACAAAAAUUAGCUGGGCAUGGUGGCGCGCGCCUGUCAUCCCAACUACUCAGGAAGCUGAGGCAGGAGAAUUGCUUGAACCCGGGAGGCAGAGGCUACAGUGAGCUCAGAUCACACCAUUUCACUCCAGCCUGGCGACGAGCAAGACUCUGUCUCAACAAACAAACAACAACAAAAGUGGGACUUAGCUGAGAGAAGAAAGUGGAAGGCGAUGGGAAGGAUGUUCCAGAUAUAGAGAACCCUCUAGAACCCAGACCUCAGGCCAUGAGAGGGCUCAGCAUGUUUGGAAAACCAUGAGUCAUUCUGUCUGGUUUUGGCAUGGAGUGUGCGGGAUUAUGGAGAAAUUGAGAUGAAAAGCCGGAGAGGUUAGGCAUGUACUAGAUCAUGAGUGACUAUGAGUUGUACAAAGAAGUUCAGGUUUUAUUUCAAAUGCAACAGGGAAGCAGACACUACAGGAUUUUUAGGCAAGAGAGUGACACGAUCAAAUAUGCAUUCUAGAGAGAUCUCUCUGGGCAUGAUGCAAAGAGUGGCUGAAAAAGGGAAACGCUGGUGGCAGGGAGACGAGUUAGGGGACUGUGACACUGCAGCGGGAAGAUGUCAGACCUGGAUUAUGACAGUGGGAAUGGGGAGGAUGAAUGAUGCAAUCUGAUUGCAGAAAUAUCUGUGAAAACCGUAGAAACUACUCAAGAAGGAAGCCAGCCAUGGGCCUUUUGGUUUUUCAUUGAAACGACUCUUUGCCAGUAUCUGCAUUUCAUCAACCUUUGCUGCUAGAAUCUAAUUUUUUUCACGGGGUUUGAGAACACUCUCAUAGAUGCAAGAAAAAAACCCACCCCUAAGGAUGACUUCAAACAAAUCAAAGCUUUUUCUUUUAAGUGCAUCCAUCAAAAGCGGAACCUUUUCACCCCAGGCUUUUAGCAGGAAGAUUUUUCUCUAUGUUUUCUUAAUGAGCAGGGGUAAGGUGAUGGCAAUUUUGCAGCUCAGAUCUACUUGAAAUUGCUCCUUCAAAGAGCCAAGGAUCCUGGUCACUGGCCUAAAACUAUACGACAGUGGUUCUCAAGCCUGCUGUACCUGGGUCACCUGAAGGGCUUUUAAUACCCUCAAUGGGCAGGCCACACCCGUGGUCAAGCACUUCAGAGAGCGCCUCUGGGGACUGAGCCCAGGCAUCAGUGUUUGUUAAAACUUCCGGGUGGGUUGGGCAUGGUGGCUCACGUCUGUAAUCCUAGCACUUCAGGAGGCCGAGGUGGGCAGAUCAUCUGAGGUCAGGAGUUCGAGACCAGCCUGGCCAACAUGGCAAAACCCUGUCACUACUAAAAAUACAAAAAUUAGCCAGGCGUGGUGGCACAUGCCUGUAAUUCCAGUUACUUGGGAGGCUGAGGCAGGAGAAUCACUUGAACCCAGGAGGCGGAGGUUGCAGUGAGCUGAGAUCCAGCCCUUCACUCCAGCCUGGGCAACAGAGUGAUACUCCAUCUC
Long non-coding RNA from Pan troglodytes (chimpanzee), 3023 nucleotides. RefSeq lists it as uncharacterized. The record is from RefSeq and is a predicted model, not a curated record. The transcript is spliced from 3 exons. Lineage: Eukaryota; Metazoa; Chordata; Mammalia; Primates; Hominidae.